RNAcentral lists this ribosomal RNA (305 nucleotides) under uncultured bacterium. Its description in RNAcentral is "partial 16S ribosomal RNA". It matches the Rfam family "Bacterial small subunit ribosomal RNA", at positions 508 to 807 of the family's 1533-position model. The record is from RNAcentral.
ACAGCAGCCGCCGCGGUAAUACGUAGGGUGCAAGCGUUAAUCGGAAUUACUGGGCGUAAAGCGUGCGCAGGCGGUUAUAUAAGUCAGAUGUGAAAUCCCCGGGCUCAACCUGGGAACUGCAUUUGAGACUGUAUGGCUAGAGUGUGUCAGAGGGGGGUAGAAUACCACGUGUAGCAGUGAAAUGCGUAGAUAUGUGGAGGAAUACCGAUGGCGAAGGCAGCCCCCUGGGAUAACACUGACGCUCAUGCACGAAAGCGUGGGGAGCAAACAGGAUUAGAUACCCCGGUAGUCCCUGUCUCUUAUAC